AUAAUACUCCCUCCGUUCGAAAUUACUUGUUGCCGAAAUUGAUGUAUCUAAACGUAUUUUAAUUUUAGAUACAUCCACUUUCAAGACAAGUAAUUCCGAACAAAGAAAGUACCUA
Molecule: non-coding RNA, 115 nt
Organism: Triticum urartu
Lineage: Eukaryota; Viridiplantae; Streptophyta; Magnoliopsida; Poales; Poaceae
Source: Rfam